This 466-nucleotide ribosomal RNA is filed under the name uncultured bacterium. RNAcentral describes it as "partial 16S ribosomal RNA". It matches the Rfam family "Bacterial small subunit ribosomal RNA", at positions 28 to 505 of the family's 1533-position model. The record is from RNAcentral.
GACGAACGCUGGCGGCGUGCUUAACACAUGCAAGUCGAACGGAAAGGCCCUGCUUUUGUGGGGUGCUCGAGUGGCGAACGGGUGAGUAACACGUGAGUAACCUGCCCUUGACUUUGGGAUAACUUCAGGAAACUGGGGCUAAUACCGGAUAGGAGCUCCUGCUGCAUGGUGGGGGUUGGAAAGUUUCGGCGGUUGGGGAUGGACUCGCGGCUUAUCAGCUUGUUGGUGGGGUAGUGGCUUACCAAGGCUUUGACGGGUAGCCGGCCUGAGAGGGUGACCGGCCACAUUGGGAAUGAGAUACGGCCCAGACUCAUACGGGAGGCAGCAGUGGGGAAUAUUGCACAAUGGGCGGAAGCCUGAUGCAGCAACGCCGCGUGCGGGAUGACGGCAUUCGGGUUGUAAACCGCUUUCGCCUGUGACGAAGCGUGAGUGACGGUAAUGGGUAAAGAGGCACCGGAUAACUACG